AGAGUUUGAUCCUGGCUCAGAACGAACGCUGGCGGCAGGCCUAACACAUGCAAGUCGAACGCCCCGCAAGGGGAGUGGCAGACGGGUGAGUAACGCGUGGGAACAUGCCUUUCGGUUCGGAAUAGUCCCGGGAAACUGGGGUUAAUACCGGAUACGUCCUUCGGGAGAAAGAUUUAUCGCCGAAAGAUUGGCCCGCGUCUGAUUAGCUAGUUGGCGGUGUAAUGGACCACCAAGGCGACGAUCAGUAGCUGGUCUGAGAGGAUGAUCAGCCACACUGGGACUGAGACACGGCCCAGACUCCUACGGGAGGCAGCAGUGGGGAAUAUUGGACAAUGGGCGCAAGCCUGAUCCAGCCAUGCCGCGUGAGUGAUGAAGGCCCUAGGGUUGUAAAGCUCUUUCGGCGGGGACGAUAAUGACCGUACCCGCAGAAGAAGCCCCGGCUAACUUCGUGCCAGCAGCCGCGGUA
Molecule: ribosomal RNA, 466 nt
Filed under: uncultured Pseudomonadota bacterium
Lineage: Bacteria; Pseudomonadati; Pseudomonadota
Description: bacterial SSU rRNA
Rfam family: Bacterial small subunit ribosomal RNA
Source: RNAcentral